RNAcentral lists this ribosomal RNA (254 nucleotides) under uncultured bacterium. RNAcentral describes it as "partial 16S ribosomal RNA". It matches the Rfam family "Bacterial small subunit ribosomal RNA", at positions 524 to 776 of the family's 1533-position model. The record is from RNAcentral.
GACGUAGGGGGCAAGCGUUGUCCGGAAUUAUUGGGCGUAAAGCGCUCGUAGGCGGAUCGGUAAGUCUGUGAAGAAAGACCCGGGCUCAACUCGGGGAACGGCAUAGAUACUGCUGAUCUUGAGACAGUCAGAGGAUGAUGGAAUUCCAGGUGUAGCGGUGAAAUGCGUAGAUAUCUGGAGGAACACCAGUGGCGGAAGGCGAUCAUCUGGGGCUGUUCUGACGCUGAGGAGCGAAAGCUAGGGGAGCAAACGGG